Molecule: ribosomal RNA, 387 nt
Filed under: Pseudomonas sp. E5
Lineage: Bacteria; Pseudomonadati; Pseudomonadota; Gammaproteobacteria; Pseudomonadales; Pseudomonadaceae
Description: bacterial SSU rRNA
Rfam family: Bacterial small subunit ribosomal RNA
Source: RNAcentral
ACAGAGGGUGCAAGCGUUAAUCGGAAUUACUGGGCGUAAAGCGCACGUAGGUGGUUCGUUAAGUUGGAUGUGAAAUCCCCGGGCUCAACCUGGGAACUGCAUUCAAAACUGACGAGCUAGAGUAUGGUAGAGGGUGGUGGAAUUUCCUGUGUAGCGGUGAAAUGCGUAGAUAUAGGAAGGAACACCAGUGGCGAAGGCGACCACCUGGACUGAUACUGACACUGAGGUGCGAAAGCGUGGGGAGCAAACAGGAUUGGAUACCCUGGUAGUCCACGCCGUAAACGAUGUCAACUAGCCGUUGGGAGCCUUGAGCUCUUAGUGGCGCAGCUAACGCAUUAAGUUGACCGCCUGGGGAGUACGGCCGCAAGGUUAAAACUCAAAUGAAUU